This 75-nucleotide transfer RNA is filed under the name Mycobacteroides abscessus subsp. abscessus. Its description in RNAcentral is "tRNA-Ile(gat)". It matches the Rfam family "tRNA". Rfam says of the family: Transfer RNA (tRNA) molecules are approximately 80 nucleotides in length. Their secondary structure includes four short double-helical elements and three loops (D, anti-codon, and T loops). The record is from RNAcentral. Lineage: Bacteria; Bacillati; Actinomycetota; Actinomycetes; Mycobacteriales; Mycobacteriaceae. RNAcentral also lists the same sequence under 1 other name.
CGACUCAUAGCUCAGCUGGUUAGAGCGCCGCUCUGAUAAGGCGGAGGUCUGGGGUUCAAGUCCCUGUGAGUCGAC